This 459-nucleotide ribosomal RNA is filed under the name uncultured bacterium. RNAcentral's name for it is "partial 16S ribosomal RNA". It matches the Rfam family "Bacterial small subunit ribosomal RNA", at positions 338 to 795 of the family's 1533-position model. The record is from RNAcentral.
CCUACGGGGUGCAGCAGUGAGGAAUAUUGGUCAAUGGACGGAAGUCUGAACCAGCCAUGCCGCGUGCAGGAUGACGGCUCUAUGAGUUGUAAACUGCUUUUGUACGAGAAUAAUAGUUCUUACGUGUAGGGUUUUGAAAGUACGGUACGAAUAAGGAUCGGCUAACUCCGUGCCAGCAGCCGCGGUAAUACGGAGGAUCCGAGCGUUAUCCGGAUUCAUUGGGUUUAAAGGGUGCGUAGGUUGUUUUAUAAGUUAGCGGUGAAAUACCGAUGCUCAACAUCGGGGCUGCCGCUAAUACUGUAGGACUAGAGAUCGGAUGCAGCAGGCGGAAUGUGUAGUGUAGCGGUGAAAUGCAUAGAUAUUACACAGAACACCGAUUGCGAAGGCAGCUUGCUAGGCCGGAUCUGACACUGAUGCACGAAAGCGUGGGGAUCGAACAGGAUUAGAUACCCCUUAGUC